RNAcentral lists this ribosomal RNA (652 nucleotides) under Melanoderma sp. HSY-2014. RNAcentral describes it as "eukaryotic LSU rRNA". The stretch from base 226 to 377 matches the Rfam family "5.8S ribosomal RNA". Lineage: Eukaryota; Fungi; Basidiomycota; Agaricomycetes; Polyporales; Polyporaceae. The record is from RNAcentral.
UCGUAACAAGGUUUCCGUAGGUGAACCUGCGGAAGGAUCAUUAUCGAGUCUUUGAAAAGGGUUUGCAGCUCUUGUGUGCUCGCCCUGCUCAAAAUCCACUCUACACCUGUGCACUUACUGUGGGCUUUUGCGGGGUUUGUUGACCCUUGUUGAAAGCCUACGUUUCAUUACAAACGACCAAGUCAUUAGAAUGUGUAUCAUCGAUGUUAUAACGCAUCUAUAUACAACUUUCAGCAACGGAUCUCUUGGCUCUCGCAUCGAUGAAGAACGCAGCGAAAUGCGAUAAGUAAUGUGAAUUGCAGAAUUCAGUGAAUCAUCGAAUCUUUGAACGCACCUUGCGCUCCUCUUAACGGAGGAGCACGCCUGUUUGAGUGUCGUGAAUAUCUCAACCUUGACAACUUUGUUGUUAGAGGCUUGGACUUGGAGGACUCAUUGUCGGUGCUUUGUUACCGGCUCCUCUCAAAUGCAUUAGCCCCUGGUUCAUUUGUGUGAAACGGUUAAUCUCGGUGUGAUAGUUGUCUACGCCGUGGGCCGUGUAAGCAUAUGUUGUAUUGACCGGGCUUCUAAUCGUCUCGUUUUAUAAAGAGACAAUUCAUUGACAAUCUGACCUCAAAUCAGGUGGGACUACCCGCUGAACUUAAGCAUAUCAAUA